GUAGAAGACUGAACCUGGAACCACAUAUUCUAAAACUGAAGCAAUAUGGAGAAGAUAAGCAUGGCCCUAAGCAAGGAUAUGUAAAUUUGUGAAGCAUUCCAUAUCUUU
Octopus bimaculoides (California two-spot octopus) is the source of this 108-nucleotide non-coding RNA. Lineage: Eukaryota; Metazoa; Mollusca; Cephalopoda; Octopoda; Octopodidae. The record is from Rfam.